Small nucleolar RNA from Suricata suricatta (meerkat), 130 nucleotides. The record is from Ensembl. NCBI's taxonomy places the organism in Eukaryota, Metazoa, Chordata, Mammalia, Carnivora, Herpestidae.
GGGGUGUGCUCAGAGCAGGGGGCCUGAAGAAAUGGCUCCUCUGUUCACAAUACACCCAACAAGAAUCUGGGUUCAUUGCAACAAAGGGCACAGAACUUGUGGCCUUCCUAUGACCAGAUGCCCUAUAUGU